GACGAACGCUGGCGGCGUGCUUAACACAUGCAAGUCGAACGGUGAAGGGGUCUGCUUUUGUGGGCCCUGGAUGAGUGGCGAACGGGUGAGUAACACGUGAGUAACCUGCCCCCUUCUUCUGGAUAACCGCAUGAAAGUGUGGCUAAUACGGGAUAUUCUGGGUCUGUCGCAUGAUGGGUCUGGGAAAGAUUGCGCCUUUGGGUGUUUUUGGUGGGGGAUGGGCUCGCGGCCUAUCAGCUUGUUGGUGGGGUGAUGGCCUACCAAGGCGGGGACGGGUAGCCGGCCUGAGAGGGUGGACGGUCACACUGGGACUGAGACACGGCCCAGAAUCCUACGGGAGGCAGCAGUGGGGAAUAUUGCACAAUGGGCGCAAGCCUGAUGCAGCGACGCCGCGUGAGGGAUGGAGGCCUUCGGGUUGUAAACCUCUUUCGCCAGUGAAGCAGGCCUGCUCCUUGUGGGUGGGUUGACGGUAGCUGGAGAAGAAGCGCCGGCUAACUACGUG
Molecule: ribosomal RNA, 502 nt
Filed under: uncultured bacterium
Lineage: Bacteria
Description: partial 16S ribosomal RNA
Rfam family: Bacterial small subunit ribosomal RNA
Source: RNAcentral